GAUGAACGCUGACAGAAUGCUUAACACAUGCAAGUCAACUUGAAUUUGGGUUUUUAACUUAGGUUUGGGUGGCGGACGGGUGAGUAACGCGUAAAGAACUUGCCUCACAGCUAGGGACAACAUUUGGAAACGAAUGCUAAUACCUAAUAUUAUGAUAAUAGGGCAUCCUAUAAUUAUGAAAGCUAUAAGCGCUGUGAGAGAGCUUUGCGUCCCAUUAGCUAGUUGGAGAGGUAACGGCUCACCAAGGCGAUGAUGGGUAGCCGGCCUGAGAGGGUGAUCGGCCACAAGGGGACUGAGACACGGCCCUUACUCCUACGGGAGGCAGCAGUGGGGAAUAUUGGACAAUGGACCGAGAGUCUGAUCCAGCAAUUCUGUGUGCACGAUGAAGUUUUUCGGAAUGUAAAGCGCUUUCAGUUGGGAAGAAACAAAUGACGGUACCAACAGAAGAAGUGACGGCUAAAUACGUG
This 467-nucleotide ribosomal RNA is filed under the name uncultured bacterium. RNAcentral describes it as "partial 16S ribosomal RNA". It matches the Rfam family "Bacterial small subunit ribosomal RNA", at positions 28 to 507 of the family's 1533-position model. The record is from RNAcentral.